AUCUCUUUCACCUAAAUGGGGACAGAGACCGAGUCUGCGACACUGUUGAGGGGUCUCCCAAGGACAAGACGUUCCCUGCAGAACGGAGCCCUGACCAGGAAGGAAGCCAGAGGCCCUAACUCGCUGCUCCUCCCAGCCAUGCCAGGGCUGUCCCUGGAUGACCCAGCACCCCAGUGGGCGGCCCACUGCUGAAGACCCAGCUCACACCCCAUCAGGGAACCCAUCGUUCUCUUUAAAAGGGAAGCUCACAGUAACCAG
RNAcentral lists this long non-coding RNA (258 nucleotides) under Fukomys damarensis (Damara mole-rat). RNAcentral's name for it is "lncRNA (ENSFDAG00000026007.1)". The record is from RNAcentral. Lineage: Eukaryota; Metazoa; Chordata; Mammalia; Rodentia; Bathyergidae.